GCGGGGACGCGCACAGGCGCGCUCCCGCUGCCCUGCAGGCAAGCCGGAAGAAGAGCGGUGCAGGACCAGGACCAGGACCGGGACCGGGACCAGAACCAGAACCGGGACCGGGACCAGGACCGGAACUAGACCAGACCUGGACCAUGCACCUGCUUACCCUGAUCUGGAGAUACUCCGCACAUUUAAUCCACUCUCUCCUCUCAUAGGUUUUAAAUUUUUAGCACAUCUGUUACAUUUUUUUCUUAAAAAAAAAAGGAAAAGUCUCGAUCGACGUUACAGGUCAGCAGUGACUCCCAAGACAAAUGUAAGGAACUCUUUCAGCACAUUAGAAACCAGAGUCUGUAUGAAGAUGAUCAUCUGUCCUACUUGUAUCACGUGGUCAGUAACUGUCAACGUUUACCGAAGCUCCGCCCCCCUGCUGUCAAUCAAAUCUCUGGACUGACCAACCGUAAUAAUAUAACAUAAGGAAACCAACAGAUUGGAACCAAUCUUUCUUGCCCCCUGUCCUGACCCAGCCCCGGGCGACUAAACUCCCCUCCGUGUGACAGAGCCAGACUCAGGAAGGACCGGUUGGAGGUGGAGAGGACAGGAAAGAGGAGAGAACAAACACAACAGAUCAGGGACCCCUGCUGGAAAGAAGGAACACGGGUUCAUAACAAGUGUCAGUAAUAGAGUUGGAGCAGAAGAGAGGCGAGUGAGGAGAGGUGCAUCAUGGGAGGUGUGUCUGCUUCCAGAGGAGAGGAACCUGAUACCUGAAGGUUCUACCUGCUCAGUAGCGGAACAUAUCAACGCCGGGCCGGCUCUGAUGUAAGCCCAGUGGAUAUUUAAAGCUUACAGAAGGCUGCAUUUAACUGCUGCUAUGUCAUUCCUGCAGUAUUUCUGCAGGUGUUUUGGUCACUGCUAUUAUUUGUAAUAUAUUAUAUUAUUUGUAAUCAGCACAAAUUAUCUGUCCCCAUAUGAUAAAAUCCACCAUCCCCCCUGAUUUAUUUUACAACUCCAGUACUGUAGGUACCAUAAGUAAACGUGCUGUCUGAAGUGCUCUGCUUAGAAAAUAUAGAACUAUGAGCUCUUUGAGAUAUGAUGGACGUUGGUCAUUAAGAGCUUUAGAUGUGAGGAGACGAAGUAUGAAUGAUCUGGCAGCUAAUGGAGAGAAGCUGAAACUGGGGAUCUCUCCAGCCGGUUCUCCUCAGAACCCUGGCUGUACCAUUCUAGGUGAGGAGGAGGUUAUAGAGAGAGUUUUUAGGACAACCUGAUAAUAAAGAAUUACGAUAGUCCAAUCUUGAAAAAACAAAUGCAUGGAUCAGUUUUUCUGGCUCAGUCCUUAGACAGAUGUUACUCAUUUUAGUAAUAUUACGAAGAGGAAAAAAGGGCGGUCUUAGAAACCUGUUUAAUAUUUUGACGACUUUGACGACGCGCCGUCUCAUCCACUGGAACAGUUUUAUCUAGAAAGCAGUCCUUGGUCUACUCCCACAUUAUUUAUGCAACUACAUUUCCAGAACCCACAGCAAUUACUGCUUACAUUCCAAUGAUUUAUAUCUGCUAAACGUGCCAAAGGUGCAUUCUGAACCAGGUAAACACUGUUUUAAGUUCUUUGCAACUGCUGCCUGAACUCCCUACAGAAGACACUCAAUCUGAAGGAUCAUCUCUGUUGGACAUUUGAAAAGCCAUAUGAAGGAUCUUGCAGCAGUUACUUUUCACACUUGUUGUUGUUUUAAUGUAAAUUCUGAAUCUUGUGUUUUAACCUAGAACACAUUUUUAUUUAUCUUGUUGAGUGUUGAGUAUUUUAUUGAAUUAUUUUAUUGAAUGAGUUGGUGGUGUCUGUUUUUAAUUGCUGCACUUUAAAUGUUUUUCUGGCUGCUGUCUUGGCCAGGCUUCCCUUGAAAAAGAGGUCAUUGUAUCUCAACGGGACCGACCUGGUUAAAUAAAGGUUAAAUAAAAAAAUACCAAAAUA
This is a long non-coding RNA of Cololabis saira (Pacific saury), 1951 nucleotides long. RefSeq lists it as uncharacterized. The transcript is spliced from 2 exons. NCBI's taxonomy places the organism in Eukaryota, Metazoa, Chordata, Actinopteri, Beloniformes, Belonidae. The record is from RefSeq and is a predicted model, not a curated record.